Molecule: ribosomal RNA, 1458 nt
Filed under: metagenome
Description: bacterial SSU rRNA
Rfam family: Bacterial small subunit ribosomal RNA
Source: RNAcentral
GAUCCGGCGUGUAGCAAUACAAACCGGUGAGAGCGGCGAAAGGGUGAGUAACGCGUGGGUAAUCUGCCUCCGAGAUGGGGAUAACUUCUCGAAAGGGAAGCUAAUACCGAAUGUGGUCGCUCCGCGCAUGCGGGGAGGACUGAAGGCGGGGAUCUUAGGACCUGCCACUAGGAGAUGAGCCCGCGUACCAUCAGCUUGUUGGCGGGGUAACGGCCCACCAAGGCUAACGGUUGCUGGUCUGAGAGGAUGGUCAGCCACACUGGGACUGAGACACUGCCCAGACUCCUACGGGAGGCUGCAGUCGAGGAUCAUUUGCAGUGCGCGAAAGCGUGACAAUGCGACGCUGCGUGGAGGAUGAAGGCCCUCGGGUUGUAAACUCCUGUCAUUCGGGAAAAACGAUCUCCGACCUAAUACGUCGGGGAAGUGAUGGUACCGGAAGAGGAAGCCACGGCUAACUCUGUGCCAGCAGCCGCGGUAAUACAGAGGUGGCGAGCGUUGUUCGGAUUCACUGGGCGUAAAGGGUGCGUAGGUGGCCGGGUAUGUCGGAUGUGAAAUCCCACCGCUCAGCGGUGGAACUGCGUCCGAAACUGCUCGGCUUGAGUGCAGGAUGGGAGAGCGGAAUUCUUGGUGUAGCGGUGAAAUGCGUUGAUAUCAAGAGGAACACCGGUGGCGAAGGCGGCUCUCUGGAAUGCAACUGACACUGAGGCACGAAAGCUGGGGAAGCAAACAGGAUUAGAUACCCUGGUAGUCCCAGCUGUAAACGGUGUACACUUGGUGUGGGGGGAAUUGCCCCCUCCGUGCCGGAGCUAACGCGUUAAGUGUACCGCCUGGGGAGUACGGCCGCAAGGUUAAAACUCAAAGAAAUUGACGGGGGCCCGCACAAGCGGAGGAGCAUGUGGCUUAAUUCGAUCCACGCGAAGAACCUUACCAGGGCUUGACAUGCAGCUGCACGCCCCGCGAAAGCGGGGAAGCCUUCGAGGGUGCUGCACAGGUGCUGCAUGGCUGUCGUCAGUUCGUGCCGUGAGGUGUUGGGUUAAGUCCCGCAACGAACGCAACCCCUGUGUCUGGUUGCCACCGCCGGCGCAAGUCGGCGAGCACUCGAGACAGACUGCCCGUACAAGCGGGAGGAAGGUGGGGACGACGCCAAGUCAGUAUGGCCCUUACGUCCUGGGCUGCACACGUGCUACAAUGGCCGGCUCAAUGGGGUGCAAGACCGCGAGGUGAGCAAAUCCACAACACCGGCCCCAGUUCAGAUUGCAGUCUGCAACUCGACUGCAUGAAGUCGGAUUCGCUAGUAACGGCGCAUCAGCUACGGCGCCGUGAAUACGUUCCCGGGCCUUGUACACACCGCCCGUCACAUCAUGAAAGCCGUCUGCACCCGAAGUCGCUGAGCUAACCCGCAAGGGAGGCAGGCGCCGAAGGUGUGGGUGGUGAUUGGGAUGAAGUCGUAACAAGGUA